Molecule: long non-coding RNA, 705 nt
Filed under: Bos taurus (domestic cattle)
Lineage: Eukaryota; Metazoa; Chordata; Mammalia; Artiodactyla; Bovidae
Description: long non-coding RNA NONBTAT011065
Source: RNAcentral
CUUGUCCUGUGCUAUCCUCCACUGGCUUGAUUCAUUGAUUUGCACUUUGCUUAUUAGAGAGUACUGUCAGAGUUGUUGAGUACGUCACAAACUGGCUUGCUGUGUGCACAGCACAUAAAUGCCUGCAGUAAAGUCCUUUAAAUUAUACUGUAUUUAGCAUUUUAAUGCUUCUUAAACUUUAGCUUCUCACAUUGAAAAGUAGAUUCAGAAAGAUAAGAGAAGUACCUAGACUGCCAGCUCCUUGAGCUGCUAGUUAGAUGUGAAAGGGAUUAAGUUAUAUACAUGUAUUCUCUUCCCAUUACCAAAAAUGAGGUAUGUGUUAAGUAAUAUCAGUACAAAUAAUAUGAGGAGAAAGAUGACAAACCAAAUCAUAUAUGUAGUGUUUAACCUGAAGCCAUCCCCACAUCCUUAAAACCAUAAACCACAUCCCAUUUUCCCCCCUCAUGCUUAAAGAACAGAGGUAAACAUUAACUGUCUAAAGGAAUUGGUAAUGAGACACGUAUGAUUACAAACCAAACCUGUUGAAAUGAACUUUAAAAGACAUCAGAAUUAUCAGCCAUCAUGUUUCGACACUGUAAAUGCAGGAAUGACUGCUUCUAUUAAACCCUAAAAUUGUGUAUGGAGUUAUGAAGAAAUUGUAACAGGAUACAGUUGGGUUAAUUAUGCAAUAUAUCUUACCAAUUGUCUAGCCCUUGUGUAUUGUUC